CUUCAGUGAAAAUCUUAUAUGUAAGAAACCUUAUGCUGUCUACCUCUGAAGAGAUGAUUGAGAAGGAAUUCAACAAUAUAAAACCAGGCCUACCAUUAUUCCAAAGAAAGAUCAUUCAUAACCAUUGAGCCAGGUGCAUAAUGUCUCAUCCU
Tupaia belangeri chinensis (Chinese tree shrew) is the source of this 152-nucleotide long non-coding RNA. RefSeq lists it as uncharacterized. The record is from RefSeq and is a predicted model, not a curated record. The transcript has 3 exons. NCBI's taxonomy places the organism in Eukaryota, Metazoa, Chordata, Mammalia, Scandentia, Tupaiidae.